AUGUCAAUAAAGACAAACUGGAAGUCCUUUCUCUCUCUCUCUCUCUGGAAGAAGAACGGAGGAGGACGCAUGGAGCCUACGUGCGCUCUCACCAAUAUUACUUUUAUGACAAUUACUUGUUGAAUUCCCCGUUUAUUCAACAGGUUCUGUGUCUUUCAGGGAUAGAUGGUGCUGGAUGCAUUGCUGUGGUACUGAGACUUGAUGGGCUGGCAGGGUGCUGAAGAUGCUGUAGGGGAUCAUCUAGUCUUUUGAUUUGAUUGGCUAGCAUGUGGACUGAAGAAGUAAAUCUUGCCCUGUGAUUGCUGGUCCAGUAUGAAGAUCUAAAUCUCAACCCCAUGGUUUGUUGGAUCUGCAGUAGAUGAGUGUCUUAUGGUGAGUUCCUUCCUGGUUUGUGAGGUGUCAACUUAGAACUGUACAGUCAUUUUACUGGAAUUGUGAUGCCUUUUCUGACACAGUUCUGCUGAUUUACCCUUCUGAAAAGCCGUUAAUCUGAAUUACCAGCACUAUAAAUAAACAAUUGUAGAACGUUAAAGUAGUUUUGUUGCCAGCAAAUCUAUUUAAUUUAACAUUUUAUUUAUCUAGGUAUUAGUCUUAAUGAUUACAGUUGGUUAUCAAUUAAGAAACUGGUAAUUUACUUUAGUCAAACACCUAUCUAUUGACACGAUCCUCAAGGUUUGGAAGGUGGCUCAUGUACUCAAAAGUUGACCCUUGAGAAAUAACCUUUCCCCUUUUUCAAAACUUUCUUGCCUGGCAAAAAAAAACCUUUGGUCUCAACAUGAACAUGUCUAAAUAAAUUCAAAUUAUUAAUCUUUUUUUCUGCCCUGUUCAUUAUGAUACAUGUUAUUAAACUUUUAUACUACA
This is a long non-coding RNA of Salmo salar (Atlantic salmon), 861 nucleotides long. RefSeq lists it as uncharacterized. NCBI's taxonomy places the organism in Eukaryota, Metazoa, Chordata, Actinopteri, Salmoniformes, Salmonidae. The record is from RefSeq and is a predicted model, not a curated record.